Molecule: ribosomal RNA, 446 nt
Filed under: uncultured bacterium
Lineage: Bacteria
Description: bacterial SSU rRNA
Rfam family: Bacterial small subunit ribosomal RNA
Source: RNAcentral
UGGGGAAUCUUGGACAAUGGGCGCAAGCCUGAUCCAGCCAUGCCGCGUGGAUGAUGAAGGCCUUAGGGUUGUAAAAUCCUUUCGUGGGGACGAUAAUGACGGUACCCCAAGAAGAAGCUCCGGCUAACUUCGUGCCAGCAGCCGCGGUAAUACGAAGGGGGCUAGCGUUGUUCGGAUUUACUGGGCGUAAAGCGUGCGCAGGCGGUUCGCCAAGUCAGGUGUGAAAUCCCCGGGNUUAACCUGGGAAUUGCGCUUGAAACUAGCGGGCUUGAGUGUGGCAGAGGGGGGUGGAAUUCCACGUGUAGCAGUGAAAUGCGUGGAGAUGUGGAGGAACACCGAUGGCGAAGGCAGCCCCCUGGGUCAACACUGACGCUCAUGCACGAAAGCGUGGGGAGCAAACAGGAUUAGAUACCCCAGUAGUCCCUGAGCGGGCUGGCAAGGCGCAU